GGCGAUGGUGCGUUGUGAGGUUCUUUUCGUAGGGGCUGACGCACAUGAGACGAGACUUGCAGAUUAAGAACAAGGUUGUGGCAAUGGUCGUGGCGGCGCUAACGGUGGAGAAGAGUGCGGGCGCCGACAUAUCUGCGGAUUUGGAUUCUUGGUGCAUGCUUCUUUGAGCAGUGGAAGGAAUGAUUUGUCAACCUGACAAAAUCCAUACAAAUCCACCAUCUUCCCUGAUGGCCUAGGAAUUGUAAAGGAGUAGGACUGUGCGACUUGGAGCUCCCUACUUGUUGAAGAAGAAGAUUCUGGAUACAUAUACUCACUGAUAUUGUCCCUGUUGGUCAACAGUUCUUGCUCUUAGAGCUGACCCCAAUAUUGAAAUGGCAAGUGGUAAUCCUUCACAAUGUGCUGAAACUUCCUUUGCUAUAGCAAGUGAGUCUGGCUCGAACCGAUCAUCAUGGAUGCCUGCGCGCCUCUUGAACAAAGCCCAAUUUUCUUCUGAAGUUAAAAGAAAUAGAUGAAAGCUGCGUUGACAUCCCAUCAAAUAUGCAACUUGUGGAUUUCUCGUAGUUAAGAGGACUUUACAGUGAUUGUUUAAAAUCCCAAUCUUUUGCAGAUCAAGCUUAUCCCAUAAAUCAUCCAAAAUUAUGAGUACAUGUUCUUCAUUUCUUAAUCUAAGUGAUAGUUGUCUCUGUCUUUCAGCUAGAUCGGAUUCCUCUCCCAAUCGAAGUCCUAAACCGGCAGCUAUGUCACCUUGAAUCCUCUUGACAUUUUCAGCUGUUGUCACAUGAACAAAUAGAACAAGGUCAAACAUGUUCAUCUCCUUUACUCUUUUACCUACAUUCAUUGCUAAGGUUGUCUUUCCUACUCCACCCAUGCCGUACAAUGCCACACAGGAGAUGCUAUCAUCUUUUAAGGCUUCCAAGAUUCCAUUGAAAGUGAUUUGUCUUGAUUCAAAGUCAAACUGCAUAAAAGAACCGCCUUCAGUUCCAUCAACAUGAACCGUGUUCUUUACUUGUUCUUGUACUUGCUCAACUUUUGUCUCCAGUUUCCUCCUAAGAUGUUCUGGUUUCGUCGUCAGAACAUGACCCUGAUGACCCAUUAUAAAGCUCACAAACACAGAUAUGGCAGCAAGUGCAAGGUGAUGAUGUAUUACUCCAAAUUUUCCCCCUUUCUGUAGGUAUAAACAAUUGUUUCUUAUCAUAUAUAACAACAACAAAUCAUUUGAUUCAGAUAGCUGACUACACCUACAUAUAUGCUACCCUCAAUUUGCUUUCCCAAGUUACUCAGAAGUCUUCAAGGACUCUUGUGUUGAUCUCUUCUUGUGGUUGAUCACCAGAAACAGAAUAUGGCAAUACUGAUUGAUUGAUAAAGAACAAAGUUACAAGAGAUUCAUCUCAAGUACUUCAAAAAUGAAAUCACCACUAUGAUAGGUGAA
Arachis duranensis is the source of this 1429-nucleotide long non-coding RNA. RefSeq lists it as uncharacterized. The transcript has 3 exons. Lineage: Eukaryota; Viridiplantae; Streptophyta; Magnoliopsida; Fabales; Fabaceae. The record is from RefSeq and is a predicted model, not a curated record.